CAACCCUCAAGCACUGCUUGGUAUUGGGUGUCACUUUUUGUGCACCUUAAAAUCAGUGGCGAGGCCCUGCAGCUUCAAGUGUAGUAAAUUUCUCGCUCCGGAGCCUGUCAGGAACACUGCCAACAACCCUCUAAUUUAUCUUAAAGG
Molecule: unclassified non-coding RNA, 147 nt
Filed under: uncultured Leotiomycetes
Lineage: Eukaryota; Fungi; Ascomycota; Leotiomycetes
Description: sequence contains ITS2
Source: RNAcentral